Molecule: ribosomal RNA, 492 nt
Filed under: uncultured bacterium
Lineage: Bacteria
Description: partial 16S ribosomal RNA
Rfam family: Bacterial small subunit ribosomal RNA
Source: RNAcentral
AGUGAACGCUGGCGGUAGGCCUAACACAUGCAAGUCGAACGGCAGCACAGUAAGAUCUUGCUCUUACGGGUGGCGAGUGGCGGACGUGUGAGGAAUACAUCGGAAUCUACUUUUUCGUGGGGGAUAACGUAGGUAAACUUACGCUAAUACCGCAUACGACCUACGGGUGAAAGCAGGGGAUCUUCGGACCGUGCGCGAUUGAAUGAGCCGAUGUCGGAGUAGCUAGUUGGCGGGGUAAUGGCCCACCAAGUCGACGAUCCGUAGCUGGUCUGAGAGGAUGAUCGGCGGCCUUGGAAGUGAGACACGGUCCAGACUCCUACGGGAGGCAGCAGUGGGCAAUGUUGGGCAAUGGGCGCGAGCAUGAUCCAGUCAUCCCGAGUGGGUGAAGACGGCGUUGGGGUUGUAAAGACCUUUUUUUGGGAAAGAAAAGCAGCAGGUUAAUACCCAGCUGUUCUGACGGUAACCAAAGAAUAAGCACCGGCUAACUUCGUG